UUGAAGACAACACAUCCAGAUCACUUUCAACCACAAGGGAGCUAUUUUAGGGAUACUGGUCUUAUUUUUAUUCUGAAGCAAAAGUCCAAAUUAUAGACCACACAUACUCUCAACUGCUUCCUUAACUAAGAAAAGCUACAUUUAAAGCCCAAGAUAAUCACAGGAGAUGAUUAAGCUAGCAAUGAGGGAGAGAGAGGGAGAAGAGAUUGCUUUGACCACCAAGGGUCCCAGGAUGCUAGAAGACCAUGUCCAGAGACUAUAUGUCUAUUGUUUGAAGCCAACCUAAAUAAAUUCAUGGAGG
Molecule: non-coding RNA, 301 nt
Organism: Phascolarctos cinereus (koala)
Lineage: Eukaryota; Metazoa; Chordata; Mammalia; Diprotodontia; Phascolarctidae
Source: RefSeq, a predicted model, not a curated record